UCUUUGUUGGCCCAACAUCAGUAUGCCAACAAAGUUAACUAUUUGCCAACAAACUGCCAACAAUGUUAACUAUUAGCCAACAGUCUACCAACGUCGUCUAGUUUUAAAAUUAUGUUGGGCCAAUGUUGGUCGAACAGAAGUAUGCCAACGAUGGCUUUAGUCUGUCAAACAUGUAUUUCAUGCAUUUCAUAUUAUGUAUUAAGGUA
Molecule: long non-coding RNA, 206 nt
Filed under: Mytilus galloprovincialis (Mediterranean mussel)
Lineage: Eukaryota; Metazoa; Mollusca; Bivalvia; Mytilida; Mytilidae
Source: RNAcentral